This 235-nucleotide unclassified non-coding RNA is filed under the name Hevea brasiliensis (rubber tree). The record is from RNAcentral. Lineage: Eukaryota; Viridiplantae; Streptophyta; Magnoliopsida; Malpighiales; Euphorbiaceae.
AGCAGCAUCCGGCGACGCCUGCACGCGACGACGAGUCGAGCUUCGACGAGCGGUAGCUGAAAACCAAACCCACGCAUCCUCUUCGACGAUUGCCACCUUCGAAGGACCCACGCCGCUCGUUUCAUAGAACCCACCUCGUUUGACGACGUUAGCGACUUGGUAUUAGCAACGCACACGGUCCGAACACCCUGGCAGCAGCGUUUUUCUCUCUUUCGACAAGUCAUGCCAGUUGGUG